AUUGAACGCUGGCGGAAUGCUUUACACAUGCAAGUCGAACGGCAGCACGGGGCAACCUGGUGGCGAGUGGCGAACGGGUGAGUAAUACAUCGGAACGUGCCCAAUCGUGGGGGAUAACGUAGCGAAAGUUACGCUAAUACCGCAUACGAUCUACGGAUGAAAGCGGGGGAUCGCAAGACCUCGCGCGAAUGGAGCGGCCGAUGUCAGAUUAGGUAGUUGGUGGGGUAAAGGCUCACCAAGCCAACGAUCUGUAGCUGGUCUGAGAGGACGACCAGCCACACUGGAACUGAGACACGGUCCAGACUCCUACGGGAGGCAGCAGUGGGGAAUUUUGGACAAUGGGCGCAAGCCUGAUCCAGCCAUUCCGCGUGCAGGAUGAAGGCCUUCGGGUUGUAAACUGCUUUUGUACGGAACGAAAAGGUCCUGGUUAAUACCUGGGGCUCAUGACGGUACCGUAAGAAUAAGCACCGGCUAACUACGUGCCAGCAGCCGCGGUAAGUACG
Molecule: ribosomal RNA, 503 nt
Filed under: uncultured bacterium
Lineage: Bacteria
Description: bacterial SSU rRNA
Rfam family: Bacterial small subunit ribosomal RNA
Source: RNAcentral